AGAAAUUGCUGACUUCCCAUUUCGGAUGGAAGAAGCUACUGAUCUGCACUGCUACUGUUUGUGAAUUGUUAAAUACGCUGCACUCUGAGAACUUGGUCUUGUACUGCAGAGUUCAACAUAUCGAGGGUGUCUUUAAGUUAUUUAGAUUCAUGUACCCAAAUACUGUUGAUCAGAUAGACAAGUAGCAUUUUCCUUGUGUGGUCAUGAAACAGUCGCCCAAAACUACUCAAGGAUGCACUUACAUGUUCACAUGAAACAGAUGUGUUGGCAACAUCAAAACAGUCACAGUGAUUAACAGCAGCUGAUUUUGCAAAGGAAGGAUAAACUAUACAAGAGAACAAAACCAUGACAGCUGAACCUGGACAGGACAUCACUUUGACAUGUCGAGCUCCAAACAACAACAACAUUGUUGUUCUAGAGUGGAGCAGAGCUGACCUGGGAGAGAAAUAUGUGCUUCUGUUCCGGGAUGAGCUGUUUGAUUUAGAACAACAGCAUCCAUCUUUUAAGAACCGGGUGGAGCUGCAGGACAGACAGAUGAAGGAUGGAGACGUGUCUUUGAUUCUGAAGGAUGUGACGACUAAUGACACUGGAACAUACGAGUGUCGUGUUGUCCAGAGAGGAACUAAACGCAGGAAGAGAGCUGUUUUGAAAAAUGACCCCAUCAGCAUCGUCACCUUGAAAGUUGAUCCUCUAGGUCAGACAGGAGGAGACACAGAGGAUGGAGGGAAGAAUGGAUCUGCUGGACUGAUUGUCGGUCUGAGUGUUCCUGCUGUGCUUCUUGUUGCUGUUGUUGGUUUUUUGAUCUACAGAAAACAUAAACAACCACAGAGGCAGGAUUCAUACCAGCCUCCUGUUGAACUGCAGCCUGUUUGAAAUGUCAGCUUAACUGUGAUUCUUGUGCUUUGUUUUCAGUCGUGUCACUGAAAAUGUGGAAAGACAGAAGUCAGUAAUAUUAAACAUUUAGCAGGUAUCUGUCAGACAGGUCCAGAUUUUGCAUUUAAUUUACAUUUUUCAUCAGAAAAGAGGAGAAAGUUGUUUGGAAUAUAAACAGUAUUUGUCUGAUAUGACUCAGGAUCCUUUGAUCACAUGUUGCUGGUGUUUGACUCGUUUUAAAUGUAAUUAUAUUCAAAUGAAACCAAAGAAAAAAACAUUUCUAUGUAGCUGCAGAGUCCAACAUUUCCUCCCUUUGACCUGAAACGAUUCAGCUUUAUUGAACUUUACCUUCCAUGAAGGAGACUCUUCAGUCUGUUACUGUCCAGUUGUUACUUUCCUUUAAAUAUUUUCCUGACAAAGAUCCACAUGUGUUAGUACUUAAUGUGUAUGUUUUUUUUAUACCAACAUUUCCUGUGGCUGUACUUUUUUUGUUCUGUUUUCAAUCAGAAGCUCUGACUUCCUGAAACUGUUGAUGCAGAUUUUGUCACCUU
This is a long non-coding RNA of Oreochromis aureus, 1424 nucleotides long. Lineage: Eukaryota; Metazoa; Chordata; Actinopteri; Cichliformes; Cichlidae. The record is from Ensembl.